Molecule: ribosomal RNA, 750 nt
Filed under: Staphylococcus epidermidis
Lineage: Bacteria; Bacillati; Bacillota; Bacilli; Caryophanales; Staphylococcaceae
Description: bacterial SSU rRNA
Rfam family: Bacterial small subunit ribosomal RNA
Source: RNAcentral
CUAUACAUGCAAGUCGAGCGAACAGACGAGGAGCUUGCUCCUCUGACGUUAGCGGCGGACGGGUGAGUAACACGUGGAUAACCUACCUAUAAGACUGGGAUAACUUCGGGAAACCGGAGCUAAUACCGGAUAAUAUAUUGAACCGCAUGGUUCAAUAGUGAAAGACGGUUUUGCUGUCACUUAUAGAUGGAUCCGCGCCGCAUUAGCUAGUUGGUAAGGUAACGGCUUACCAAGGCAACGAUGCGUAGCCGACCUGAGAGGGUGAUCGGCCACACUGGAACUGAGACACGGUCCAGACUCCUACGGGAGGCAGCAGUAGGGAAUCUUCCGCAAUGGGCGAAAGCCUGACGGAGCAACGCCGCGUGAGUGAUGAAGGUCUUCGGAUCGUAAAACUCUGUUAUUAGGGAAGAACAAAUGUGUAAGUAACUAUGCACGUCUUGACGGUACCUAAUCAGAAAGCCACGGCUAACUACGUGCCAGCAGCCGCGGUAAUACGUAGGUGGCAAGCGUUAUCCGGAAUUAUUGGGCGUAAAGCGCGCGUAGGCGGUUUUUUAAGUCUGAUGUGAAAGCCCACGGCUCAACCGUGGAGGGUCAUUGGAAACUGGAAAACUUGAGUGCAGAAGAGGAAAGUGGAAUUCCAUGUGUAGCGGUGAAAUGCGCAGAGAUAUGGAGGAACACCAGUGGCGAAGGCGACUUUCUGGUCUGUAACUGACGCUGAUGUGCGAAAGCGUGGGGAUCAAACAGGAUUAG